UGGAAGCAGCUAUUCAUUCAAAGAGUGCGUAACAGCUCACUGGUCGAGCGGAGCCGCGUGGAUGAUGAUCGGGCAUCAAGACCGCCGCCGAAGCCGAGGACGGCUGGCGCGAGUCAGUCGUGGUAGGGGAGCAUUCCGGUCGGCGCGGAAGGGAAGUCGCGAGGCUUCCUGGAGCGUCCGGAAAAGAAAAUGUAGGCAUGAGUAACGACAAGGGGCGUAGAAACGCCCCCGCCGAAAACCCAAGGUUUCCGGGGCCACGCUAAACGGCCCCGGGUGAGCCGGGAGCUAACGGUAAGCCGAGAGGCGAUCCGGAUGCACACGCGGUUAAUAUUCCGCGGCCGGCCCGUCGGGCGAUGUCGCGACCGAGAAGUGAAACCUCCGCGCGGAGACGGAAUUCCGCGUUGAAGGCCGUAGGGGGGACCCGAAAGCCGACAGUACGGCGAGCCUCCGGGCGAGCCGACAGCGAGGGUAACCAUGCUCGCGAGAAAAGCGACUAGCGCUAAGAGACGGGCCGCCCGUACCGUAAACCGACACAGGUGGGUGGGGAGAGUAUCCUGAGGCGCUCGAGUGAAUCACGGCCAAGGAACUAGGCAAAUUGACCCCGUAACUUAGGGAUAAGGGGUCCCGCGGCGACGCGGGCGCAGAGAAAUGGCCCAGGCGACUGUUUACCAAAAACAUAUGGCUAUGCGAAAUCGUUAAGAUGACGAAUAUGGCCUGACACCUGCCCGGUGCCGGAAGGUUAAGAGGGGGGGUCACCGAAAGGGAAGCCCUGAAUUGAAGCCCCGGUAAACGGCGGCCGUAACUAUAACGGUCCUAAGGUAGCGAAAUUCCUUGUCGGGUAAGUUCCGACCUGCACGAAUGGUGUAACGAUCUGGGCGCUGUCUCAGCCGUGAGCUCGGUGAAAUUGUAGUGACGGUGAAGAUGCCGUCUACCCGCAACGGGACGAAAAGACCCCGUGAACCUUUACUAUAGCUUAGCGCUGAUCUUGGACGUCGGAUGUGUAGCAUAGGUGGGAGGCUUCGAGGCGCGGCCGCCAGGUCGCGAUUAGCCGCCAAAUGAAAUACCACCCUUCCGUCGUCUGGGGUCUAACUUCGCGAGAAGGACACCGCUUGGUGGGUAGUUUGACUGGGGUGGUCGCCUCCAAAAGAGUAACGGAGGCUUCCCAAGGUCCGCUCAGGACGAAUGGCAACCGUCCGCAGAGUGCAGUGGCAUAAGCGGGCUUGACUGGGAGACAAACAGGUCGAGCAGGUACGAAAGUAGGGCAAAGUGAUCCGGCGGUUCCCCAUGGGAGGGCCGUCGCUCAUAGGACAAAAGGUACUCCGGGGAUAACAGGCUGAUCGCUCCCAAGAG
This 1350-nucleotide ribosomal RNA is filed under the name human gut metagenome. RNAcentral's name for it is "bacterial LSU rRNA". It matches the Rfam family "Bacterial large subunit ribosomal RNA", at positions 1107 to 2498 of the family's 2925-position model. The record is from RNAcentral.